ACAGGCGGCAGCAGCUCUCUGCAACUCUCACAUGGUCGCUCACUGAAGCUAAGCAGGGCUGUGCUUGGCCAGUACCUGGAUGGGAGACCACAUGGGAAUGUUAGGUUGCUGCUGGAA
Molecule: ribosomal RNA, 117 nt
Organism: Danio rerio (zebrafish)
Lineage: Eukaryota; Metazoa; Chordata; Actinopteri; Cypriniformes; Danionidae
Source: Ensembl